Molecule: long non-coding RNA, 4261 nt
Organism: Oreochromis niloticus (Nile tilapia)
Lineage: Eukaryota; Metazoa; Chordata; Actinopteri; Cichliformes; Cichlidae
Exons: 6
Source: RefSeq, a predicted model, not a curated record
UAGGAGACUCCGCAGAGCAACCAUGUUUCUUUGCACCGGCCACGGUUGUCAAAACCCACGGCACUCGGUCCACAACCCGCUUGAACAUCACAAAGCCCUCUUUGUAUUUUAGACUACAUGAUGGACUUUUCUCUUCAGAAGGAACACUGAAGGAAGACUGGGAGGAAAGCACAACUACUGGUGCUCAGCUUCUGCCAAGCUGACUCUACAACACUUUAACCUCCAGUAGAGCGCUUAGAUUUCCAGAAGGGUUGCACAAUUACAAAAUCCCAAUCAUCACUUCCUCAGGGGCCCACAAAAUGGAAAGUGUAUACCAUCUCAUUACAGGAGUGCUAAUGUUCUUUAAUUUUAGAUUGUUACAGCUUAGAUUUAAUUCCAGUUCUGAUUCAAGGGUGGAAAAAAACAAACAAAAAAACAUCGCUUUUAAAGUUAAUCAAUCAAUCACAGCUUCUGGGCAUUUGCCCUCUGCAAGUAAGCACAAUGUAAUUUGUUGGCCAUGAGCGUUCCAAGCCCAAAACCUAAAGAUAAUAAGGUUACAAUAAAUAUUAACAAUAGUGCUAUAAAUCUUCUCAUUUUAGAUGCAGAUGGCUUUACAGUUUUUACAUUGUAUUUACUAAUGUUUUCUCAAAGCUGUUGGUUAAGUCAUGCCUUUCAUUCAUAUCAUUAAUGAUCCUGUAAUUCUAUACCACUUUUUAGGUCUACACACUGGUGAAAAUUUCCAUAUUCUGUCUUUAAAGGAGUUUAUUUGGUUUGCAUUUUUCAGGUUUGCUUGCCAUGACGAUGUGAUAUUAAUAUGUAUAAAUAUCCAAAACAGUGUAAUGUAAUGCAGAUCCCUUCCUGCAACACUUAAAUGUUGAAAAGACACUUUCAUAUGUAUUAAUAUUCCACACAGUAAGAAAUUAUUUCAAAAUAUUUCCCCUUUAGCAUUUUACUAGACUCUUCCAAGAAAGAAUUGACCUUUUUACCAUCUAUCAUUGUUUGCUUUCUUUGAACUUUCCACCCGAUCCUCAUCUUGUGUCUUGGCUGGGACCAAGUUUUUAUUACUCUCUGCCACUCACUUUUUAAAACUUUAAAAUUAGAUUUCCUGAAGAUAUGGAUAUGUCUAAAUAGGUCAAAAUGACAGAAGCGCUGUUACACCAAAAGUCUUAAAAGUGGAUGUUUUAAUCAACAUAAACACUGGUGGUUGAGUUUCUUAUGAUGAGUACAGAAUUCUGUUUUGCACUAAAGGCUACACACAAAAAUAGUGUAUUUAAUGUAUUUUACAGUUUAUAUGUAUCUGUAUUCAAUUUAUUAUAAUAAUAGAUCACAAACCCAAGUAAAAUACCAAUUAAAGAGGGUGGUACAGUAAACACAAACUACAUUGGGUUAAAUGAGAGAAAUACAAGAAAUAAAAUCAGUAGGGGUUCUCCAAUAAAAGUAUGUCUUAAAAAGAGAUGUAAAAGAUGUCACUGGCCCCAUUUCCUGAGGCAGUUUAUUCCAUAGCUCCAGGGCUUUGGCAGGAAAUUCUCUGUAACUUUUAGUUUUUAGGCUCUAGCCUCAGGACUCAGCCUUUGUAUAGGCUGAGGUACUGUAUAUAGCAGAAGAGAGGCCAUGAAAAGCCUUUAAAGUCAACUCUAAUCUGUGGUCACUUAAUGGAUUUUUCAUCAAGGCAGGUGAAGCUGGAUGUAUCAAUAAUCUAACCUCAGGAAGAGGGAGACAUGGAAAAUGCUGCCACCACCUUUUAGAGAUCUUAUUAGGUGAUCAGAACAAACUGAGGCUACUACUGAGUGAGUACAGAUAGUCACGAUAAGCUUUACUAUUGUUCCCAUAAUACUAAUGGAAAAUUGGUUGAGUUCUUUUCAUACUCUUCUUCUCUCCCCAGUCAGUUAAACUGCUCAAUACAAAUGAGCACUGGUGAAAAAAAGGCCUUUGAAAGGUGCAGGUAAUAAUUAAUUCACUUGAACAUUUGCUGCCAUUAGAUAUGAGUCAGUAUGUCUCACCGGAAGACGCGUUUUCAUGUUAAUUCAGUCAGUUUUGAAAAUGUAAAAUCUCUGACUGUGACUGCUCUAUUGCCCUUUAAGAGUUGGAAAUGUCUAUGUAAAAAGAAGCACAUUUGAAAAGUAUUUUCUUCAUUAGAGAGGCAAAGUCUUGUGGGACAAUGAGAAAGUAUAUUAGUGCUAGAAGAUGUCAUACUGUAACUACACAGCUCUGAGUAAGGCGUGCAUAUUAAAACACUCACUUUGCAUAAUUUUCCUGCAAAAAAAGAAUAAAAGAAGAAGCCAUUUGAGUUGCCCCAGCGGUAAUUGGGUCUAUUGUCAUGGAGGCACCUAGAUUGGCACAAGCAGCAGCAGCAUGUUGGUGUACAGCGCUGACCUUGAAAUGCAGUUUGCCUGGCCGUCUGCAUGCAAAUGAGGAAGUGGGAAGCUAGUUCUCGAUGUUAGUUGAUAACUGAGACUGAGACAACGCCUCACUGAGAAAAGAUGUCAGAGGGCCGUGCAAGUACUUCAGACUCAUUCAUCUGAUAAUAAGACAAAAAGCCAUGAUAGAAAGACAAAAAAAAUCCCCCAAAACUGCCUCUUUGACUUUGCUUCUUGUUCUCUGUCCCUGCUCAUUUUCCAAAUUGCGUUUUUAAUGUGGAUGCAUUGGCACGUAGCAAGUUUUCAAAGUGGAAAAAAAAAGAGGUUCAGCACCAUGGACAGCAACUUGCUCACUCCUUAAACUCAGCCAUGCCAUUUCACCAAACUUGUAAAAUGAAAAUAAAUAACAAAAGAAAAAGGAUUAAUAUGAGCAACAAACCAGGGAAUUAUUAUUGUGAAACCUGUUUGUUAAAGGUUUUCACUGCUCACUUGUAGUGGGUUGCCCUGAAAACUACGAAGACUAGAGCAUUUACUUAUUUGAAAAGAAGAUUGUGAACUGAGGCAAGCGAACAGAAACCAACUUUUAAAUUCUUUAUGCUCAUUUGUGUUUCUCUUUGUUGGCAGCUAGCCUGCUCUUUUUGCACACUUUGCAAUGCUUCAUGUCUUGUUACAGCUCAAAGGAUGAUCCAGCGUGGCCACGAACCAAAUGGACUGAGCAACUGUGUGGUUUAUUUAAUCUGGACUGCAAAUCCGUCACGUUCUCAAGUAAUCGAAUUGCCUGUGGAAUAAAGCCAAGAAUUCUGUUUGUUUUGCAAGCUGGAGAUUUCCUCCUCCUGCAGGAGUCAUCACAAACUCAUUAUGGGUGCAGAAACACAAGAUUUAAUGCACCUUUGUAGCAUCAGUAACAUCUCAGCAAACCCCCAAAUCUGCUUCAGACAGUUGAGCCUUCACACCCUCAACAGUACGAGGAGACACUGGAAAAGUAAAAAGAGAGCGCUUGAGCCCGACACAGAGAUACUUCACAGAGAUGGGAAGCUUAGGAGUUUGUCGUUGGAUAGUGAUGAUCUGCAAUAUCAUUCAGAGGCCAUGGUGCAUAACCACUUUGAUGAUCCAGUAAAAUGAAUGUAAUACUUGUACAGCUUAAAUUGGGUGCACAAGUUUGAAUUUAUAAUCGCCAUCAACUGGGUCCCUGCUUGAACACCAGUAUCAAUGUCUACAAGUGACGCAAGUUUUACAUCACCAUGGACUGAGAGGCUGCAAACCAAGAACAAAGUCGCUGGUCCAAAAGUGUCACCUUCAAGCUUGAGUGAAAUUUGCAGCUGCCCGAAUGGACAAGCCAAAUGUGUUUUAGAGAAAAGUUUUUAUCUUCAGAUGAGACAAAGAUUGAGUUAUUUGGCCACAAUGACAAGUAGUAUGUUUGGAAGUAUGUAACUGUAAGGCUUUCAAACCUAAGAACACUGUAACAGCUGUCAGGCAUGGUGGUGGUAGUAUCAUGCUCGGGGCUAUUUUGCUGCCAGUGGUACAGGUACAGUCCACCAAGUGUACUGAAUAAUAAAAUAGGAGGACUACCUCCAAAUUACCUGAAAUCAACAGCUAGAUGGUUUAAACUUGAAUAGAAGUGGGGCUCCAAUGAGAUCAAUGAUCCCAGACAGGUAUCAAUUUUCAGAACUGAAGAACCUCUUGGAUGAGAGGUGAAAUGUCUUCAUGAAACUUAACAGAAGUCCAAGCUUUCCAAGCUCCUUAGGCUACCAUGACUAGGCUAAAAUUAACUUUCUGGGAUUACUUCCAAAAGCUCUGACCUCAACCCUAUUGAAAAUUUGAGCAUUAUGCUUAAAAGCUUAGUCUGUGCCAGGAAAACAACCAAUUGAAAUGAACGGUACCAAUACUGCCAUGUAUCCCGCCAGAAUUAUGCCAGUAGACUGUUG